AUGUCAGACACCAGCUCUCCUUCUCUAGUAACUACUGAACUGGCUGUUGCAGACUGCGAGCUGCCUCUGCAUCAGUGGAGCCUGCUUGGCCAUCUCUCUGGCCUCACUGAAUUAAGGAUGGAACGGUGUGGUGAUCUGACCGGCACACCAGAGAUAAUCCAACAUCUCUCUUCCCUCAAAGGUCUAAGCCUAACAGGCAAGGAACAUGAAGAACUGCCGAAAUGGUUGGGUGAGCUCACAUCCCUUGAGAGGCUGUGCAUAGAUGCAUACACAGGGAUAAAGGAAUUGGAUGAGAGCAUAAGGAAACUAACAAAGCUACAAGAGCUAAAACUGUACAACUGUAACAGCAUGUCAUCGUUGCCCCAUUGGCUGACAGAAUUAACCUGUCUCAAUACUCUUGUGAUCAAUUUUUGUGAGGGCAUCAGGUCUUUGCCGGAGGGCAUAGAACAACUCACCAACCUCAAGAAACUGAAAAUUAACUGCCCUUAUUUACAGAGGUAG
This 501-nucleotide ribosomal RNA is filed under the name Triticum aestivum (bread wheat). RNAcentral describes it as "partial small subunit ribosomal RNA". The record is from RNAcentral. Lineage: Eukaryota; Viridiplantae; Streptophyta; Magnoliopsida; Poales; Poaceae.